RNAcentral lists this unclassified non-coding RNA (331 nucleotides) under uncultured fungus. Its description in RNAcentral is "partial contains 5.8S ribosomal RNA and internal transcribed spacer 2". The stretch from base 1 to 133 matches the Rfam family "5.8S ribosomal RNA", at positions 22 to 154 of the family's 154-position model. Lineage: Eukaryota; Fungi. The record is from RNAcentral.
UGGCUCUGGCAUCGAUGAAGAACGCAGCGAAAUGCGAUAAGUAAUGUGAAUUGCAGAAUUCAGUGAAUCAUCGAAUCUUUGAACGCACAUUGCGCCCGCCAGUAUUCUGGCGGGCAUGCCUGUCCGAGCGUCAUUUCAACCCUCAGGCCCCGCCUGGCGUUGGGGACCGGCGCGGCGCCCCCGGGCGCUGCCGGCCCCGAAAUACAGUGGCGGUCCCGCCGCGGCCCUCUGCGUAGUAGCAACACCUCGCACCGGAGCAGCGGCGGCGGCCACGCCGUGAAACACCCAACAUCUGAAAGUUGACCUCGGAUCAGGUAGGAAUACCCGCUGA